AAUGAACGCUGGCGGCAUGCCUAACACAUGCAAGUCGAACGAGACCUUCGGGUCUAGUGGCUCAAGUGUUCGUAAAGCGUGGGAAAAUGCGCUUAGGUUCUGACUUACUCCCCGAAAUGGGUGCUAAUACCGGAUACUGUCUCCGGACCAAAGCUUUCUCCCCUUUGGAUGUGCCCGCGUUGGAUUAGCUAUUUGGUAGGGUAAAAGCCUACCAAGGCGAGGAUCCAUAGCUGGGCUGAGAGGGUGCUCAGCCACACUUGGACUGAGACACGGCCCCGACUCCGACGGGAGGCAGCAGUGGAGAAUAUUGGAGAAGGGGCGAAAGCCUGACGCAGCAAUGCCGCGGGAGUGAGGAAUGCCGUAGGGUUGUAAAGCUCGUAUACCCGAGACGAUAAUGACAGUACCGGGAGAAUAAGCUCCGGCUAACUCCGUG
This 433-nucleotide ribosomal RNA is filed under the name uncultured bacterium. Its description in RNAcentral is "partial 16S ribosomal RNA". It matches the Rfam family "Bacterial small subunit ribosomal RNA", at positions 29 to 507 of the family's 1533-position model. The record is from RNAcentral.